This 1877-nucleotide ribosomal RNA is filed under the name Escherichia coli. RNAcentral describes it as "partial 23S ribosomal RNA". It matches the Rfam family "Bacterial large subunit ribosomal RNA", at positions 1 to 1895 of the family's 2925-position model. Lineage: Bacteria; Pseudomonadati; Pseudomonadota; Gammaproteobacteria; Enterobacterales; Enterobacteriaceae. The record is from RNAcentral.
GGGUUGUGAGGUUAAGCGACUAAGCGUACACGGUGGAUGCCCUGGCAGUCAGAGGCGAUGAAGGACGUGCUAAUCUGCGAUAAGCGUCGGUAAGGUGAUAUGAACCGUUAUAACCGGCGAUUUCCGAAUGGGGAAACCCAGUGUGAUUCGUCACACUAUCAUUAACUGAAUCCAUAGGUUAAUGAGGCGAACCGGGGGAACUGAAACAUCUAAGUACCCCGAGGAAAAGAAAUCAACCGAGAUUCCCCCAGUAGCGGCGAGCGAACGGGGAGGAGCCCAGAGCCUGAAUCAGUGUGUGUGUUAGUGGAAGCGUCUGGAAAGGCGCGCGAUACAGGGUGACAGCCCCGUACACAAAAAUGCACAUGCUGUGAGCUCGAUGAGUAGGGCGGGACACGUGGUAUCCUGUCUGAAUAUGGGGGGACCAUCCUCCAAGGCUAAAUACUCCUGACUGACCGAUAGUGAACCAGUACCGUGAGGGAAAGGCGAAAAGAACCCCGGCGAGGGGAGUGAAAAAGAACCUGAAACCGUGUACGUACAAGCAGUGGGAGCACGCUUCGGCGUGUGACUGCGUACCUUUUGUAUAAUGGGUCAGCGACUUAUAUUCUGUAGCAAGGUUAACCGAAUAGGGGAGCCGAAGGGAAACCGAGUCUUAACUGGGCGUUAAGUUGCAGGGUAUAGACCCGAAACCCGGUGAUCUAGCCAUGGGCAGGUUGAAGGUUGGGUAACACUAACUGGAGGACCGAACCGACUAAUGUUGAAAAAUUAGCGGAUGACUUGUGGCUGGGGGUGAAAGGCCAAUCAAACCGGGAGAUAGCUGGUUCUCCCCGAAAGCUAUUUAGGUAGCGCCUCGUGAAUUCAUCUCCGGGGGUAGAGCACUGUUUCGGCAAGGGGGUCAUCCCGACUUACCAACCCGAUGCAAACUGCGAAUACCGGAGAAUGUUAUCACGGGAGACACACGGCGGGUGCUAACGUCCGUCGUGAAGAGGGAAACAACCCAGACCGCCAGCUAAGGUCCCAAAGUCAUGGUUAAGUGGGAAACGAUGUGGGAAGGCCCAGACAGCCAGGAUGUUGGCUUAGAAGCAGCCAUCAUUUAAAGAAAGCGUAAUAGCUCACUGGUCGAGUCGGCCUGCGCGGAAGAUGUAACGGGGCUAAACCAUGCACCGAAGCUGCGGCAGCGACACUAUGUGUUGUUGGGUAGGGGAGCGUUCUGUAAGCCUGUGAAGGUGUACUGUGAGGUAUGCUGGAGGUAUCAGAAGUGCGAAUGCUGACAUAAGUAACGAUAAAGCGGGUGAAAAGCCCGCUCGCCGGAAGACCAAGGGUUCCUGUCCAACGUUAAUCGGGGCAGGGUGAGUCGACCCCUAAGGCGAGGCCGAAAGGCGUAGUCGAUGGGAAACAGGUUAAUAUUCCUGUACUUGGUGUUACUGCGAAGGGGGGACGGAGAAGGCUAUGUUGGCCGGGCGACGGUUGUCCCGGUUUAAGCGUGUAGGCUGGUUUUCCAGGCAAAUCCGGAAAAUCAAGGCUGAGGCGUGAUGACGAGGCACUACGGUGCUGAAGCAACAAAUGCCCUGCUUCCAGGAAAAGCCUCUAAGCAUCAGGUAACAUCAAAUCGUACCCCAAACCGACACAGGUGGUCAGGUAGAGAAUACCAAGGCGCUUGAGAGAACUCGGGUGAAGGAACUAGGCAAAAUGGUGCCGUAACUUCGGGAGAAGGCACGCUGAUAUGUAGGUGAAGCGACUUGCUCGUGGAGCUGAAAUCAGUCGAAGAUACCAGCUGGCUGCAACUGUUUAUUAAAAACACAGCACUGUGCAAACACGAAAGUGGACGUAUACGGUGUGACGCCUGCCCGGUGCCGGAAGGUUAAUUGAUGGGGUUAGCG